AUUGAACGCUGGCGGCAUGCCUUACACAUGCAAGUCGAACGGCAGCACGGGAGCUUGCUCCUGGAGGCGAGUGGCGAACGGGUGAGUAAUACAUCGGAACGUACCCAGGAGUGGGGGAUAACGUAGCGAAAGUUACGCUAAUACCGCAUAUUCUGUGAGCAGGAAAGCGGGGGAUCGCAAGACCUCGGGCCUUUGGAGCGGCCGAUGUCGGAUUAGCUAGUUGGUGAGGUAAAAGCUCACCAAGGCGACGAUCCGUAGCAGGUCUGAGAGGAUGAUCUGCCACACUGGGACUGAGACACGGCCCAGACUCCUACGGGAGGCAGCAGUGGGGAAUUUUGGACAUGGGGGCAACCCUGAUCCAGCCAUGCCGCGUGAGUGAAGAAGGCCUUCGGGUUGUAAAGCUCUUUCGGCGGGGAAGAAAUGGCAACGGCUAAUAUUCGUUGUUGAUGACGGUACCCGCAUAAGAAGCACCGGCUAACUACGUGCCAGCCGCCGCGGUAA
Molecule: ribosomal RNA, 501 nt
Filed under: uncultured bacterium
Lineage: Bacteria
Description: partial 16S ribosomal RNA
Rfam family: Bacterial small subunit ribosomal RNA
Source: RNAcentral